Molecule: non-coding RNA, 124 nt
Filed under: Carlito syrichta (Philippine tarsier)
Lineage: Eukaryota; Metazoa; Chordata; Mammalia; Primates; Tarsiidae
Source: RNAcentral
GUGUUGUAUGAAAGGAGAGAAGGCUAGCACUUCCCUUCACAAGUAUGGAAGAGGCUCUCUGGCCUGAUAACACAUACAGUUAAGGCAUUUCCACCUACUUCCUGGCAUCUAACCAUCAUCUUAU